This 168-nucleotide antisense RNA is filed under the name Neisseria mucosa ATCC 25996. RNAcentral's name for it is "NrrF RNA". It matches the Rfam family "NrrF RNA". Lineage: Bacteria; Pseudomonadati; Pseudomonadota; Betaproteobacteria; Neisseriales; Neisseriaceae. The record is from Rfam by way of RNAcentral.
UCACUCGGAUGCCGUCCUGCUUCGAGUCAUUAAACAACGAUUCUCCCCUCUUCAUUUUUUUAUCUCAUCGGAGUGCGCAUAUACGAGACAUACCGUUCCCCUUAUAUCAGAUACUCAAAACCGAAAAACACAAAACCCGCUGCUUUUUAAGUAACGGGUUUUGUGUUU